Molecule: ribosomal RNA, 484 nt
Filed under: uncultured bacterium
Lineage: Bacteria
Description: partial 16S ribosomal RNA
Rfam family: Bacterial small subunit ribosomal RNA
Source: RNAcentral
AUUGAACGCUGGCGGCAUGCUUUACACAUGCAAGUCGAACGGCAGCGCGGGCUUCGGCCUGGCGGCGAGUGGCGAACGGGUGAGUAAUACAUCGGAACGUGCCCAGUAGUGGGGGAUAGCUCGGCGAAAGCCGGAUUAAUACCGCAUACGACCUGAGGGUGAAAGCGGGGGAUCUUCGGACCUCGCGCUAUUGGAGCGGCCGAUGGCAGAUUAGCUAGUUGGUGGGGUAAAGGCCUACCAAGGCGACGAUCUGUAGCUGGUCUGAGAGGACGACCAGCCACACUGGGACUGAGACACGGCCCAGACUCCUACGGGAGGCAGCAGUGGGGAAUUUUGGACAAUGGGCGAAAGCCUGAUCCAGCAAUGCCGCGUGUGUGAUGAAGGCCUUCGGGUUGUAAAGCACUUUUGGCGGGAACGAAAAGGACUGAGCCAAUACCACGGUUCGAUGACGGUACCCGCAGAAUAAGCACCGGCUAACUACGUG